AUGAAUUAUUAAGUAUUUUUUGUUUUUUUUUUAAAAAUAUUUUAAUCAAAGUAGUCAAAUAGUUGUUUGUUGAAGUAUCAAAUUUUGAAUAAAUUUUUGUUUAUGAUAGUUUAUAGUAAUGUGAGUGAAAUUAGUUUAAAUAAUAAGAAGUAUUAAUACUAUUUUACCUUUUGCAUCAGGGUUGAUUAAAAAAAACUAACUAAUUGUUGUUUCUCCCGAAUGUAAUAGAGCUAAACUUUAAUGAUUGUUAUAGUCGCAUAUAUAUAGAAAAUUAGGGUUUAGAAGUUAUAUGUUAUUCGAUUUUACUGAUAUCUGGUUUUUUAUGAAUUGAAUUUAAUUCAGAUGUUUAUGAUUAAAUUUUUAAAAUAAUUUUUAUUUUAAAAAUUUCUAAAUAUUAAUAUUUUGUGGGUAACCUACAUAAUAAGUUAUAUAAUUUAGUUUUUUAAGUUUUUAAAUUGUAGGCUUUAAAAUUAGCUACUUAUUGAAAGUGUUUAAUAGUUUAUUGAUUGAUUUUAAAAAUUUGAUAUUUAAAUAUAUGGGAUUAAUAAAAAUAUUUUUAUAAUGUAUUUAAAAAUUUUAUAAUGAUUAAAUGAGUAGUAAGUGUUAAAAUUAUGUUUUAAUUUUAUGUUUAUAUAUAAUUAAGGAACUCGGCAAAUUUUAUGUCCAACUGUUUAACAAAAACAUUGCUUAUUGAUUAUGAUUUUAAGUAAAUCUGCCCAAUGAUGAGAAUUUAAUGGCUGCAGUAUAACUGACUGUACAAAGGUAGCAUAAUAAAUUGUUUUUUAAUAGGAAACUGGAAUGAAAGAAUUAAUGAGAUAUAUACUGUCUCGGUUAUAUUAAAUGAAAUUAGAUUUUAAGUUAAAAUUCUUAAAUUUGAUUAUGGGACGAUAAGACCCUGUAGAAUUUUAUAUUGAUUUAAAAAUUAUAAUUUUAUUUAUUUUACUGUAGUUUUUGGGUUAAUAUUUUGCUGGGAGGGCAAUUAAAUUUAAUCAACUUUAUAAAGUUAAGUCUAUAAUUUUAGUGUGUUUGAGUUUAUUAAUAUUAUUAAAUUUAGAUUAAAUUACCUCAGGGAUAACAGCGUAAUAUCUUUGAAUGAGUCCAUAUUAGAAAAGAUGUUUGCGACCUCGAUGUUGAAUUAGGAUACAUUUUAAAUGCAGAAGUUUAAUGAUUAAGUCUGUUCGACUUUUAAAAUCCUACAUGAUUUGAGUUCAGAUCGUCGUAAGACAGAUCGGUUUCUAUCUAUAAUAAAUUUAAAAUUUUUUGUACGAAAGGACCGAAAUUUUUGAAUAAUUCAUAAGUUAAAUAUAAUAAAUAUAUGAAUUAUAUAAGCAAAUUUAGUGCAUUAAACUUAGAAUUUAAA
RNAcentral lists this ribosomal RNA (1360 nucleotides) under Melecta chinensis. RNAcentral describes it as "16S ribosomal RNA". The record is from RNAcentral. Lineage: Eukaryota; Metazoa; Arthropoda; Insecta; Hymenoptera; Apidae.